RNAcentral lists this ribosomal RNA (495 nucleotides) under uncultured bacterium. Its description in RNAcentral is "partial 16S ribosomal RNA". It matches the Rfam family "Bacterial small subunit ribosomal RNA", at positions 30 to 523 of the family's 1533-position model. The record is from RNAcentral.
AUUGAACGCUGGCGGAAUGCUUUACACAUGCAAGUCGAACGGUAGAGGGGGCAACCCCUCGAGAGUGGCGAACGGGUGAGUAAUAUAUCGGAACGUGCCCAGUCGUGGGGGAUAACGUAGCGAAAGUUACGCUAAUACCGCAUACGAUCUAAGGAUGAAAGCGGGGGAUCGCAAGACCUCGCGCGAUUGGAGCGGCCGAUAUCAGAUUAGGUAGUUGGUGGGUAAAGGCUCACCAAGCCAACGAUCUGUAGCUGGUCUGAGAGGACGAACAGCCACACUGGAACUGAGACACGGUCCAGACUCCUACGGGAGGCAGCAGUGGGGAAUCUUGGACAAUGGACGCAAGUCUGAUCCAGCCAUUCCGCGUGCAGGAUGAAGGCCCUCGGGUUGUAAACUGCUUUUGUACGGAACGAAAAGGUCUCUCUUAAUACGGGGGGCUCAUGACGGUACCGUAAGAAUAAGCACCGGCUAACUACGUGCCAGCCGCCGCCGUAA